This 1086-nucleotide long non-coding RNA is filed under the name Felis catus (domestic cat). RNAcentral describes it as "lncRNA (ENSFCAG00000053682.1)". The record is from RNAcentral. Lineage: Eukaryota; Metazoa; Chordata; Mammalia; Carnivora; Felidae.
ACGGGGGUAGACUAUCAGCCCCAAGAUCCAGGGUUAAUCAGUGGGAAAGAUCAUUACCAGGGACAUGUUUGUCUGGUUUUGAAAUGUGGAUGGAACAUUGGAAGAUUGGAAGUUCCAGUCCCUGUCCCCCACACCCACACAUCCCAUAGACUGCACUGCAUAUAUUGCGUGGUCCCUGCCUGGCCUUCAGCUCAGGAAUCAAGGGAACAUUCUGAGGUGGGGCAUUGGCGGGAGGCCCCGUGUGAACUUUUGAAGCUCACUUUCCUCAGAGAGCACAGGCUUCGGCCAGAAAUCUCCCUCUCAACCUGUCUCCAAAUUUCUGUGCCUGUUCAACAGUUGAUCACCUCCCACCAUCUCAGAACCUGUCAACUGGGUCCUUUUGUAUCUGUUCCAUCACCAUGUCUAUGUUGCCAGCUUGUCUCUCUGGACAACUGUCUCCUACAUGUGCUCCCUCCUCCUGUCACCUUUCACCCAUUCCACCAAACAUCUAGAGUGGCUUCCAUAGCCCUUACGAUAAAUUCCAAGUCCCUCAACCUGGGUCACAUGAAUACCUCUGACCUGGCUCUUUGUCCCAGACUUCGGCUUCCUCUUCAUCCUUGUCUCCUAGCUCCCCCCGCCUCCAGCCGUAAUGACCUUUCUUUCUGUUCUCUGUGGAGCCCACGCUUUCUCUCAAGAUUUGUCUGGGCUCAUUGCCCAUGCUUUGUUCCUCGCCUUCUAUUAACCAUGUUUCCAGCUUCUGUAAAUGUGAUGCUGUCAUAUCUGCCCUACAUGCCUAUACUGGACAAGCCAGUAUCUUAUUUUCUGGAUAAGCCAGUAGUGUGCCUAUGUCUCCUUGCCACGGCCUCCUGCCUCCCUCACUGCACCCCCCUCCUCAGGAGAAGACUUCUUCCUGGGGGUGUGCUUUUUUUUCAAAUGCAGAUUCAUCAAUCCCCAGUCCAUACAUUCCUGACCACACCACCUUUUGUCAGCUUCUCACACUCUGGACCACCAUUCCUGUGCUUUAGUUACCCCAGAGCCAGGCACCAGAGGACUAGGGACAUCACCUGUGCCCCACAACCCACUGAAAUUCAGUGUAGCGAAUCCUAA